Molecule: long non-coding RNA, 622 nt
Organism: Capra hircus (goat)
Lineage: Eukaryota; Metazoa; Chordata; Mammalia; Artiodactyla; Bovidae
Exons: 4
Source: RefSeq, a predicted model, not a curated record
GGCGACUCACCGUCGCCGCGGCACCGGCGGCGGCCGCAAUAUCAAGAACGACCACCUCCGAAGCUUGUAGUCGGGCGUCAGAAGGAGGCGGGUAUUUAUUUUAUAGGCACAUAGGCGUUAUGUGGACAAACCCAGGUGGGAACGAUGGUGGUUGCGUGAUAUGGAGAUUCCAAGCAGAGCUUAAAUGAGACAACACACCGUCUUCUUUCAGCUCUCAUACCGUUAAGUGUUUUGUUAUUGUUCAGCGUGUUGGAGGCAACUGGAGUGAAUUGAGUACAGCUGUGUAAUCUAACACUCCAGAUACCAGUUCCUUUUCCAGUGUUUGGAGUCCGCCUGCCAAUGCAGGGGACAAAGGUUUGAUCCCUGGCCCAGCAAGAUCCCACAGGCUGCAGAGCAGCUAAGCCAUGCGCCACAGCUACUGAGCCCUUGCACCAGAACUAGAAAGUCUGUGCCGCUUGAAAGAUCCCGCAUGACACAACAAACAGCCUAAGUGCCCCAACUAAGACCCGCCGCAGCCAAAUAAAUAAAUAAAAUAUAUUGUAAAAGAAGGCAUACAGAUGGCUAACAACAUGCACGUGAACAGAUGCUCAGCAUCCCUAAUUGUUGUCGUUCAGUUGCCAAG